Molecule: microRNA precursor, 85 nt
Filed under: Podarcis lilfordi (Lilford's wall lizard)
Lineage: Eukaryota; Metazoa; Chordata; Lepidosauria; Squamata; Lacertidae
Source: RNAcentral
UUUUUCUUUCUCUCUCUCUCUCUCUCUCUCUCUCUCUGUGUGUGUGUGUGUGAGAGAGAGAGAGAGAGAGAGAGAGGAGGAGGAG